Molecule: long non-coding RNA, 5277 nt
Organism: Nannospalax galili (Upper Galilee mountains blind mole rat)
Lineage: Eukaryota; Metazoa; Chordata; Mammalia; Rodentia; Spalacidae
Exons: 4
Source: RefSeq, a predicted model, not a curated record
GAAAAGUGUGUGCAGGAGGGUGAGUGGGGCGGUCCACCGUGGGGCCUCUGCCGCCCUGGCCUCGGUUGCGCGCUCGUCUCUUUUCUGGCGCCCGACCGUCUUCCCCCAGCGCCAUGGGGUACUCGUGGGCUGGGAACCGCCGGGCGUCCUGUAGCCUUUCAGCCGGGCUUGGGGCACGUUUGCUCUGGGGGUCGCCGCCCCGACGUGGACCCCAGCCCCCCAGGGUUUUCCCAGCCCAGGAGCCCGUUGAGCCCUGCACAUUGAUUCUUUUGCAGAACAAUUUCGGAACUCUUGGUCUAUGCCAGGCGUAAGCUCUACUUUGUCUUCAAGUAGCAAGUAGUUAUGUAAACAGAUUUCGACACAGUGCGAUGGCUGCAACAAAAAGAAGCAUUAUGAGGUUAAAUGUAAAAAGGUAACUUUAACGACGGCGGAGGUUGCAGGAAAGGCUUCCUGAGGUAGGCGCUGGUGAAAUUGGGAGUUUGAGAGUCCAGGUGAAACGUGCUCCAGUACGUGUCCGGUAGAAAGAAGGCUUGUGGUCCCUCACCUGACUGAGUGGCGCAAUCGAACAGCUCACAGCAUCAGAUCUCCCUUGGGUCACCAGCCUGCUUGCCUGCUCAUCAGUCCCGAGUAUAUCCUAUUGAUCUGUUUCUAUGAAGAGCCCAAAUCCAGUGGUCAACUGAAUAUGGAAGGGGGAUGAGAAAGGAAAAUAUGCUUUUGGAGAUUGAGUAGUAAUGACUCUUGAGAUACUCAAAUAAAAACUGGAGCACUAUCCUUGAUUUCUCCCCUCUCCCUAACUUCCACUCAUUACCAAAACUGUAUCUCUGUUUCUGUAUUUAUUUUGGAUUUAUUUACCUCCACUUCUCUGGCUAUCACCUUAUUCUAAGAUAUCUCUUUACUGCUUUAUAACUUCCCAGCUGUACUCCUUCUACUCUUUCUCCUCCAUAGUACAUUGUCUACACAACAGUUUGCUUGAUUCAAAACAUAAUUCAGACCAGUCGUUUUGAUCUAGGCCUAUAUCUCCACAUACUUGAUGCAGAAACCUAAGGAUCCCAUGUUUGAGGCCAGCCUGUGCUAAGUAUUAAGACCGUCUCAAUAGGUGAGUAGUAAAUAACAUUUCUUCCUUCCAGUUGAAAUCUCUUUAAUGGCUUCUUGUUUAUUUUUAGAAAAAGUUCAACUUCAUGACUUGGGGAGAUAGCUGAGUUGGUAGAGUGCUUGCCUAGCAUGCACAGGGCCUUGGGUUCAACCCCUGGUACCACAUAAACCAGGUAUGGUGGUGCACACCUAUAGUCCCAGCACUCUGAAGGUGGAAGCUAGAGGAUCAGAAGUGCAAGGACAUCCUCAGCUACAUGGUGAGUUUGAGGACAGCCUGGGCUACAUGAGAUCCUGUCUCCAAAAAAAAAAAAAAAAAGUUGCCUUUUUCCUGGCCUCUGAACUCCUGCAUAAACAGUCCCUCUUUUCAGAAACAUCAUGCUAUGCUCAUGCUUUCUUCCUUCCUCUCUCCUCUUCCUCACUACUCCCUCUUUCUCCCUCAGUUACUUCAUUUAUAAGGCUACUAAGCUUUUUUCCAUCUAAGAGCUUUGUUGCUGCUUUCUGCCUACAUCACUGUUUCCACAUUUAGCAUGUUUGACUUCACAUCAAAGUCAGGUAUUACCUUUGAAAAAAUCCCUUCCUUGAUCUUCCUGCAGGGGUCCUCCCCAUUUCUUCUCCAUCUCACCAUCCUGUUUUCUGGUUUUGUCUUAACAUUUAUUCUGUAAUGGUCUUUUUUGAUAUCUGAAGCACAGGUACUUUGCCUGUUUCUUUUUCUUGGUCAGGGGAGGGAGCUGAAACAAGAUCUUAACUAUGAGUUCAGGCUGGCCUAGAACUUACUGUGUAACCCAGUGUGCACUCCAGUAUAGGUCUCUCCUCUUACAUCUGUCUCCCAAUUAGAUGGGAGGCCUGUGUGCUACCACAGGCUGCUUGUCUGUUCUUUGCUAUUGUAUUCCAGGAUCUGGCAAAUAGUAAAUGCUCAGUAAGUUUUCUUUAAAAUGACUCAUUGGUGCCUCUUAUAAUAAAGAAUACAGGACACAUCAUUUGAUCACAGAGAUCUUUAAAUUUCUGUGGGAUAUCCAAAUGGAAAUGGUUAAUACACUUUAGAAUUUGAGAGGUCUGGACUACAGAGAAUUAGGAGUUGUUUAUGUUGGUAGAAGAUAGGAAAGUGUGACUAUCUCAAGAUGGCUUAGGAUGAGGGGAAAAAAAGCCUUGAAGGACAUCAACACUCAAGGAGCAGCUAGAGAAAAAAACUGUAACAUGAAUAAUAAAAGAAAAAAAAAUUUCUUUUUCAAAACAGGGUCUCGUUGUGUAGCCCUGGUGGGCCUGGAGCUCACUAUUAGACCAACCUGGCCUUGAACUCUAAGAGGUUUUCUUGCCUGUUUCCCCAGUGCUGAGAUUACAAGUAUAUGCCGCCAUACCCUGCUAACCUAGGUUGCUUUUGUAUUCCAAUUUUAGGUGUACAUGAGGCAUGUAAAUAUAAUAUACUGUGGAAUAUGGUGUGUUUAAAAAAUUCACUGUGUGGAGUUCACAAGGCAUGGUUUUUCUAGUCAUUCAAAUGCUUUGCUUUUACUCAGCUGGUCACUUCUGGUGUGAAUAUGGGAGAAGUCACAGUUCUUUCCUCCUUUUCUAGAAAUUGCUGCAAUGUGUAAGAGUAGAUGAGCUUCCUCAAAGCCAUGUCUGCUGGCUUAUAAGUCUGCCGACUUACCCCACAGACAGAGAAAGGUUUAGAAGCAGAUCAGCUGAAACUAUUGAACCUAUAGUUUAGGUUCCCUUAUUGUGUGGACCUCUACCAUUUUCCAACAAGCCCUCCAAAUAGUUUGUGCUUCAAUGAAUAUACAAUUUGGAUCUGUCCCUAUAUGGGAUAUAAGCAACUCAGUAAAAUCAUCAGAUUUGUAGUAACUCAUCUCCAAUGUUGACUGUCCAGUGAAAAAUAUUUAAGCCUUUAUGUCAUUGUCUCCCUUUGAAUUUGGACCCUUAUGGUUCCUUUUUGAAUAAUGAAUAGUACAGAAGUAUACACAGACCUAGGCUAUAACAAGACCUGGAACCUGUGCCUUUGGAAUGCUUUUGUGGAAGCCAGCUGCUCUUUUAAAAGGUUUAUUUGUUUUGCUUUUUCCUUUUUUUUGAGACUGGGUCUAAUGUAGCUCAGGAUGGCCUUGAACUCACUCUAUGUAGCUGAAGAUGGCCUUGAACUCCUAAUUCUCCUCCUAUCUUCCAAGUGCUUGGAGUAUAGGCAUGUACAACUCAUUUAAGAAGCCUUAACACCUUGAAACCAACAUGCUUUAAAAAAAAUUCAAGUUAAUGACAUCAAGAAGCUACACAGGGAGAAAUAUUUAGCCAGCCCCUGACUGAAGAUGCCACAUGUGGGAAUGAAGAAGGUAUUUUGGAUUUCCAUCCUAAUCAAGCCUUAGAUGAUUUCAUCUCCAGUCACCAGUUGAACACAAUGGAAGACCACAAGCAAGAGAGGCCUACCUGACCUCAUCAGCCUGCAAGUCUGUGAGAAAUGUUAUUUUAAAUAUCUCUUUGGAAUUGUUACAAAGUAAAAAAUAACCGAAAAACUAUCUUUCCCAGAACAUUAGAAUUUGGAACUUGGAAGAUGCUUAGAGCCUGAGAGUUGGUCACUGAUGACAACAUCCUGAAGGCAAGUUGACAACAAACAGUAAGAAUGAACUUCUUUACAAGGCUGAAUUGAAAGUAAAAGGGAGCUGAAAAAGUCAUUGGCAAAAGCAUUAAAGGUCUUGACCUAUGGGGCUACAGAGAUGGCUCAGUGGUUGAGAGUGCUGGCUGCUCUUUCAGAGAACUCGAGUUCGAUUUCCAGCACCCACAUGGUGGCCAACAACUCCAGUUCCAGGGAAUUCAGACAACCUCUUCUGAUCUCCACAGGCACGGCACAUACGACACAAGUGCACGUAUAUGCAUGCAGGCAACACACUCCUACACAAAAUAUAAAUAAUAAUAAAAUAUUUUAAAGAUCUUAACCUAAUUCCUUGGUCCAGUUUACUAGCAGCUGAUAAUGUCCCUUUGAUACCAGUUGCAUCAUUAGAAGGCUUACCACCCAGAGGCAGAACAGAACCAUUGCAGUUACCAGUAAUCACAUUCCACACCCCUCCCCGACAAGCCAUCUGAUCUUCCACUUCUGGGGAAUAUUGAGCAGGAUUUCUUGUUUGUGAUUUUAGCUCUCAGGUCCCUUCCAGCUAUUCUUAACACCAAGCAAAAUUAAAACAAAGUCUAAUACUCCCUGAGACUGUGAUCCACAGGACUAUCUGCACCUUUGAAUUCUGGGUUCACAGCCUUUUAAGACAGGAUUGCCUUGUAGCCCCAGCUGGCUUGGAACUCAUUAUGUAGACCACCUUGGCCUCUAUCUCACAGAGAUCCACCUGCCUCUGCCUCCCAAGUGCUGGGAUUAAAGACAUGUGUCACCACAUCUAGUGUGGGUUCACAAUCUUAAAGCCAAACUCAAUCCUUUGCUACCCUGAAUGAUAUUUAUUUCCUGGUACUUAAUUGCUUUUGUGCAUUUUAUGACAAAUGGCUCCAAAGUAGCCAUGUGAGCACUUUACUUUUUCAAUACGCAAAUGUAAAUAAACUGUAUAUAGCAAAGUUUUUUUCCUUUUUAUGAGACUUGUUUUUUGUUGUUUUUUAAAUUGAGACUGGGGUUUCCCAUAGUCCCAGGCAAAGCUAAAAACUCCCUAUGUACCUGAGAAUAGCCUCUACUACCUCCUCAGCAGUAGUAAUCACCCCUGUACCAUUAAUACCAAGAAAACCUUUGUUUCAACAUAAGAAUGAGCCAAGUCUGUACAUUAACAAGUUUUAUUUAAAAACAAAAAAACAAACCCACUGUAGGGACUGGAGAAAUGGCUCAGUGUUAAGAGCAAUGGAUGCUCUUGUAGAACACUGGGGCUCAGUUCCCAACCCUCUGUAACUCCAAUGCCAGGGAUCCGAUGCCCUCUUCUGGCCUCUGUGAGCAUUGCAUUCUUAUAUGCAUGUGGGCAAAAACACUUACAGACAUAAAAAAUAAAUCCACUGUAAACUUUUUCAACCUAUACCACAAUCUUCUACCACUUUAUUUUGCUGUUUUUUAGGGUCUCACUAAAUAUGUAGCCUUGGCUGCCCUUAAUCUGAUGAUUUUUCUGUCUUAGCUUUCUGAGUACUGGGAUUAUAGGAAUGUGUUACCAUACUUGGCUCAAAGUUAACCUUCAAAGCCAGUACACAUCAAGAUUUAUUCAAUAUAGUUAACAAAAACAAAAUCGAAUG